RNAcentral lists this ribosomal RNA (629 nucleotides) under uncultured Parabacteroides sp. RNAcentral describes it as "bacterial SSU rRNA". It matches the Rfam family "Bacterial small subunit ribosomal RNA", at positions 88 to 715 of the family's 1533-position model. Lineage: Bacteria; Pseudomonadati; Bacteroidota; Bacteroidia; Bacteroidales; Tannerellaceae. The record is from RNAcentral.
GUGGCGACCGGCGCACGGGUGAGUAACGCGUAUGCAACCCAUCUAUCAGAGGGGAAUAACCCGGCGAAAGUCGGACUAACACUGCAUAAAACAGGGACACCGCAUGGUGAUAUUUGUUAAAGAAAUUCGCUGAUAGAUGGGCAUGCGUUCCAUUAGGUAGUUGGUGAGGUAACGGCUCACCAAGCCGACGAUGGAUAGGGGAACUGAGAGGUUGGUCCCCCACACUGGUACUGAGACACGGACCAGACUCCUACGGGAGGCAGCAGUGAGGAAUAUUGGUCAAUGGGCGAGAGCCUGAACCAGCCAAGUCGCGUGAAGGAAGAAGGAUCUAUGGUUCGUAAACUUCUUUUGCAGGGGAAUAAAGUGCGGGACGUGUCCUGUUUUGUAUGUACCCUGAGAAUAAGGAUCGGCUAACUCCGUGCCAGCAGCCGCGGUAAUACGGAGGAUCCGAGCGUUAUCCGGAUUUAUUGGGUUUAAAGGGUGCGUAGGUGGUUUUAUAAGUCAGCGGUGAAAGUUUGCAGCUUAACUGUAAAAAUGCCGUUGAAACUGUAAGACUUGAGUGUAAAUGAGGUAGGCGGAAUGCGUGGUGUAGCGGUGAAAUGCAUAGAUAUCACGAAGAACUCCGAUUG